GUGAAAGAUGAAUAUUAUCAUAGAUUGACUGCUAUUCUGAAAGGUGUGUAUGAUUUGUUCAUUCUUAAUUUUAGGUUCCAUUAGAUAUUAUUCUUGAUUUUUCCAUCGCUUUUACGCAAUAUCAACUGAAGACUAUAUUAUUCCACUUCACCUUCUUUAUGUCGCAGAUAAGCCAACUUAGUGUUGUUUCUGAGCUAAUGCAUUCUCAGAAAAUAGUGAAUGCAUAUAAUUCAUUACCAUGAGUUUGCUUGGAAUGUUUUAUUUUUAAAAUAAGGUUAUAUUCUUUUGUCUCCUCUUACAGUGUAGACAGUUACCUUCUGCAAAUACUUGUUAUUGUCAAGAGCUAGAAUUCUUGGCCUAGGCUGACUAUGAUAGGAAUGAUUGUGCCAUUUAUUUUGUUUGAUAAUGCAUAAGAUUUUCUUCCCACACUAUUAUAAGUUAUAUGAUCCAAAAGCUGAUUUUAUAUUUUACCAAUAACAUAUUAGACAUCUUAGUAUCCUUUUAAACUAUAAUGACCAAUUAACAUGAAGUCUAAAUUCCAGAAUCAGCUUAUAUACAAGAUAAUAGAGAAAAGAAUUGUUGGGUUGACCGAUCAACUAUGAGAGAAACUAGACUUCCUUCUUUGAUUUUCUUUAUUAGAAGCUUUACUUAUAACUAUAUUUAACUAAUAUCUCCAAAACUAGAAACUCUUUCAUGUAUAUUAGAGAAUUAGUAAACUUAUCUGCGAUUUGCACUUAAGAAACAUCAAUAAAAUUUUAAAAAAAUUAUCGAGUUAAUAAAAAAUAUAGAUAAUAUCCCUCUUUUAUGAGAAAUAAAAUCGCCAAUAAAUAAUAUACAUAUGCUCUAAUUCAUAAAUUUAAUUUAAUUGUAGCAAAUAAUCUAUGUGAUGUAUAGUUAUUUGUACAUUAUCAAUGAAUAUUACAUAAGUUUUAUCUAAUUAAAGAAAAUCCAAGACUAAGAAAAAUUAAUAUAAAAGUUGCAUAGAUUUUUAAAACUACUAACUAUACAAAUAAAAUAAAUUAAAUUAUUGUUAGUUAUAUAUUGAGAAGCUGAAAAUUUCUAUAAGAAAAAAUAUGUAUUUUUUGCCAAAAGAACAUUAGGAAGACCUCCUCCUUUUACCUUGAAAUAUAAAUUCUAAAACCUUUAUUCUGUUAAUUUAUUGUAUUAUCUGGUAGUUAAAGCAUGUUUUUAUGGGAUACAUUUAAUUGAAUAACUGCAACAUUAAAUUAGAGAUAAUGUGUAACGAUCCGACGGGUCGUUUUGAGCUUUUGUACUUUGCUCGCCAAUUCUGGGGCAUGCCUUGCCCCGUGUGAUACAUUAUGACUUAUAUAAAUUUUGGUUUUUAGGAUAAUCGGAAUGAAUUUGGAGGAACAAUUCUCAGUUUGAAGCUUGAAAUUUGAAAGGUUUGACCGAGAUUUGACUUAUUUGUUAUGAUCUCGGAUCGGAAUUUUUAUUAUUUGGUUAGCACCAUUAGGUUAUUUGGGACUUAGGAGCGUGAUCGGAAUGCAUUUUGGAAGUCCGUGAAAGGUUUAGGCUUGAAUUGGCGAAAUUUAGAUUUCGGUGUUUUCUGGUUGAUCGAAGAGAUUUUGAUAUAGAGGUCAAAAUAGAAUAUUGGAAGUUGCAGUAGUUCCGUUGUUUCAUUUGAAAUGUGUGUGCAAAAUUUUACGUCAUUCGGAUGUGGUUUGGUUGGGGUUUUUUAUCAAAAGCAAAAUUCGAAAGAUUUUGAAAACUUAUGCUUGAAUUCGAUGUGUUUUGGUUGAUUCGAUGUUGUUGAGGUAUUUUGAAGAUUGGUACAAGUUUGAAUAAGGUUAUGGGAUAUGUCUGUAUUGUUGGUUUAGGUCCUGGGGGCCUCGGGGUGAGUUCGAAUGGUUGACGGAGAAGUUUGAAAAUUUGGUGAGCUGCAUAUUUUGUUGUUUCUGGUAUUUUUGCACCUCCGGAUUGGGGACCGCAAGUGCAAUGCCGCAGAUACGAGCAUAAAGGCCGCAGAAGAGGAAGAAGGCAAGGUAGGAUGUGACCGCAGAAGCAGUCGGGAAACCACACUUGCGAGGCCAUAGGUGCGGAGUGAGCAUCAUAGAUGCGAUUCUGGGUCGCUUUAGUGAGAACCGUAGAAGCGGUUCAUUGGCCGCAAAAGCGAAACCGCAGAUGUGGUAGUUUGAUCACAGAUGCAAAAAUGCAUGGGUCAGAAUAUAUAUAUUUCACCCUUCAUGAUUUUGAGAUGGUUUUUACCAUUUUUUAUUCGGGAGAAAGGUGGGAGAGCUAAUUGUAGAGGGAAUUCAAGAGGAUAUCAUGAAGGUAAGAUUUUUGGACCCUAAACUUAUUUCUAUGAUGAAAUUUAACAUUUGUAAGCUUGCAAUCCAUGGAAAAUCAGUAAAAAAAAAUGGGUGAUUAGGACUUGAGAUUAAGAGACCUUUGAGCGGGGUUUGAGGGGUCAUUUGAGGUCCAAUUGAAUGCUAUUGAUAUGUAUAGACUCAUGAGAGGAUGAGGAUUCCAUUGAUGUUAAUUUUUUGAAAUCCAAGACGUGGGCCCGGAGGCCCGGUUUGAGCAAUUACAGCAUUUUGAAUGUAAAGUAUAUUUUUGAGUGGGCUUUGUUCCCUUAGCAUAUUUUAAUAAUUAUGUAAUUAUGGGCUAGAUUUGGAGCAUCUGAAGGUCGAUUUGUCAGGGAAAGGCAUCACGGGCUAGAGUUUGUACCGGUUCAAGGUGAGUAAUGAUUGUAAAUGAUGUCCUUAGGGUAUGAAAUCCCGAAUUGCACGUUGUUAUGCUAUAUUGAGGUAACGCACACGCUUGAUGACGAGUGUGUGGUCGUGAACUAUUGGGGAUUGUGACUUAUUUUGUCCCGGAUGACUAUUUUACCACGUAUUUGACUGAAAAAACCAUUUGCUAUCAUCAUGUUUUGGGCUGAAUGUCAUAUUUAGGCCUCGUGCCAACUAUUUGAACCCUCAGGGGGUUGUUAUUGAUAUUUCCUCAUUGUUUUGAUUUGAUACCUAUACUAAUUCAUGCUAUAUUCUACUAUUUUCAUAACUCAUCCAUGUUUACUCUAUUUUUAACAUACUAAAUGAUAUUUCAAAUAAUAUUUUGGGCUGAGCAUCAUGUUUUACUGUUGCCCGAGUGGCUUAUGUAAUUUUUAACUGAGUAAAGCUGAGAGCCUAUAUUGUGAAGAUACAUUUGUGUCUGGUUGCACGCCACAACGGUGAUACACUAAUUUUUAUUAUGAUGCCGAGGGCUUGAGAUAUGUACGCCACGAGGUGGCUUGUUGAGGCGGAGAGCCUAGUGAUGAAGCCAUGAGAUGGCUUGAUAUUGCUCUUGGGACGUAAGGGGCCCCUCCAGGAGUCUGCACACUUCCAGUAAGCGCGGGUACCCAUUGUGAUGUGAGAUAUAGCCGAGGGGAUGGUGUUGUUCUGUGUUGUUGCCCGAGAUGCUGUUUCUAUUGUUAUUUGUGCCCGAGGGGCAGAUUUUCUAUGUUUAUCUAUUCUAGUUGCUUUGUAUUUAAUUUCUUAACUGUUAAAAAUGUAUUUUAAAGAAGUUUAAACUGAGCUAAGAUGUUUUAAGAGAUUUCACAGCUUCAUUGCUUUCUUAAAUGGCUAUAUACUACUUCUGUACAGCAUGUUGAUAUGCUUUACGUGAUUUUUUAUCGCUCGGUCUUUAUUUAUUUUUGUUACUCACUGAGUUGUAGUAUUCACUUUACUCUCUGCACCUUGUGUGCAGAUUCAGGCAUUUCUACACCCAGUAGCAGGUAUUGGUUCGGCAGAGUCAUUGGAGUUUAGCGAGGUAGCUAUCGAUGUUCGCAACACUGCUUUUCUCCCUCUUGAUGUCAUUAGACUAUAUUUAGUAUAUUUCUAGAAUUUUGUUAUAUUUCAGACAAUAUUAGAUGCUCGUGACUUGUGACACCCCGAUGUUGGGCUGUAUUUAUUUCUGCAGUGUUCAUUUAAACUCACAUUAUACAAUAUUUGAUUAAUUUAAAAGGCUUAUAUUGGCUUAUUAAAAUUAUUGACUUUAAUUUGGGAAUUGUGUUGGCUUGCCUUGUCUUUAUGAGAGACACUAUCACGAUCGGGUCCGAUUUGGAGUCGUGACAAGUUGGUAUCAUAGCCUAGGUUACAUAGGUCUCA
Molecule: long non-coding RNA, 4103 nt
Filed under: Nicotiana benthamiana
Lineage: Eukaryota; Viridiplantae; Streptophyta; Magnoliopsida; Solanales; Solanaceae
Description: long non-coding RNA (NBEN_LNC037124)
Source: RNAcentral